UCUGAAUCCGACAUUUCGCCAAGAAAUUAUACGAUUCUUGUCACACGCGAAUAUUACUAAGCAGUAGGAUUAUUAGGUUAGAUCAACAAGACCCACGAGAUCAACAGUAGAACUAAACGCCAGCCAAAAAUUUUUUUAGAUUGAUUCAUCCUAUCAUCAACAACGUAGCAGCAGGGUCAUCAGAGCCAACAAAAACAUCGGAACGGAUAAAUCAAUUUAAUAAACACAUUUCGACCAACUGCAUACGGCACGCACUCCGGAAGGGUAGAAUUUUCAAGAGCAUACCAUUAUUUCAGAGCAUACAAAUUGAAAACUGUAUAUUAGAUACAUGUUUAUUCCAUGAAGAAAAUUAUUUCGAUCACUGUAUGCUAAUUUAAACGAUCUUCAAUGUCUGUAUAAAUACAUUGACUCGCAUUAAUAUUCGGACACAA
Molecule: non-coding RNA, 431 nt
Organism: Megalopta genalis
Lineage: Eukaryota; Metazoa; Arthropoda; Insecta; Hymenoptera; Halictidae
Source: RefSeq, a predicted model, not a curated record